Long non-coding RNA from Phyllopteryx taeniolatus (common seadragon), 358 nucleotides. RefSeq lists it as uncharacterized. Lineage: Eukaryota; Metazoa; Chordata; Actinopteri; Syngnathiformes; Syngnathidae. The record is from RefSeq and is a predicted model, not a curated record. The transcript is spliced from 2 exons.
UUCACUUUAAAAAUGGCUACGGCAAAUACUAACAGUAAGUGUCACGCUGUAAUUGCUUUUAAGGAACGUUGUCUUGACGGUGCUGCCGAAUUAUAGCCACACGUCUUCGAAGAAGACGCGUUGCUAUGGCGUCGAAUGGUUUAACGCGACGUUUUUUUUUUCUUUCUUUCUUCAAAUGACAGUUCCAACUAUGACUAACCGAGAACGAGUGUAUGAGGAGCACGACGUGGACCCGCAGAAGAGCGCUGGCCUCUUCAAAGAAGGGGGGGGGGAACACGUAUUUCAUUCAUUGGUUUUCCACUUUUUUUUGUCAACUUUUUUUCACUCCACGUUGAUAAUAAAGUUGUGUAUAAAGAGA